AAAAAAAGGGAUAUAAGGGGACGAAAUUAGGGGACCAAAAUAUUUUACUUGUCUUCAAAAAAUAGAAUUCAAUAAAAAUGGGGACCUUCAAAAAUUUUGUCCCCAAUUCUUCUAUUAUAACAUUAUUGGGGACGAUAUUUCAUAUUUAGUAUGGACUGAAAAUCUAAAUAGAAUAGGGGACAAAUUGCUAAAGCAUCGAAUAACCUAAAAAAGAAGCGGCAAUUUAAAAAAAUAAAAACAAAGUGGCGGUAUUAUUGUUAGUGUAAACAUCGUGCUUCUUUGGUGUAUACAAGUGAUAAUCUAGGGUAUACUCCCAUUGCCGAACACAAUUUUCAGAAUUUAUUCAUCAUAAUUCAAGGUAAGUUUGUUUUUACAAUUUCAUUAAUCAUGCUUCUAUAUAAAGAAUCUCUUUUUAAAACUCAAAAUCUCGAUUCUGUUUUGUAUAAGACAUAAUUAGAUUAGGGUUUCAUUUGGAGAAUUAGUUUUAUUUAGUGAGCACAAUCGGAUUCGGAAAAUCAAUGUUUUUGCCAGAAGAACAUUGUGGAUCAUUGUCUUUGUAAGUUUAUUUUUGCCUUAAUUGAUUUUUUCUGUCUUUUUCUUUUUGGAUUUUGGUUUCUUUAAUCACAAUUUGAUCAUGCUUGAAAUAAGUAUUUUUCUUUCCAUUAUUCUAAAUUUUCUUGGUCUGAAUUGGUUUGAUUUAUGUUGUGUGCUAUAUUAUAUGUCUAGUCAUUGUGUUUUGUGUUGAUUGCAUUUGAAACUCAGUUUGGGCUUAUUUAUUUGACAGGUUAAAUUAGUAGGUUAAUAAAUAAUUUUUUUAUAAUGCUUAUCAAAUUCUUGUGUAAAUAGAAAUCAAUUUCUGAUUGCUGUCUAAUCUGUUGCAGCAAUCAAAAACUGAUUUCUGCUGUAGAAUUAGAUUUCUGCAGCAGAAUUAGAACACUUACAAUAUGCGUCGAUCAUCUAAUGGUUGACUUGAUAGAUGCAAAUUGCUCAUAGUUUAAGUAGUGGAAUAUAUGCAAAUUUUUUUGUUCGAAUCUUGUUGUUGUAGAAAAUAUUGCUGCCAAUUGUCGUCUUCAUCCAUUAUAGCCUCAUCCAAUAUUAUCCAUCACCCAUUUGAAAGUUAUUUUAUUUUUUAAUUCAUGUAAUUACUUUUAUUUUGCUGCCAUUUGGGUAUUACAUCAUUGCUUUCGGUUCAUAGAAUUUCAAUUCACUUUUGAUGUCGUGUGUUGAGUCAACGUAUAGGCGGACAUUUAAACUGCAUUUCAGAAAUUUUAAGUCCUUGAUCUACAAGAGUGGACAAUGACUGAGAUCCUUGUUUAUUGAAGGUGGAAUUACUGCAUUUAAUCCAGCAAAAAAGAGCUGCAAGUAUCAGUUAUAAAAUUGCCCAUUAAGCAUGAUAAUUGUGCUUAAUGAAAUGGUACAUUCACUCCUCAUUCACUAUAUCAUAUGCAGCACAUCAAGGUCACUGUUAUUGAUGAUUACACCUAAAGUUCCUUGUAACUUUUGGCAUGAGAAUGUUUGAUAAUAUGUAAAUUGUAUUUGUUUAUUAAUUAAAUGUCUAAUAGGUAAUGUGCAGGUGGUUGUUACUGAUGAAACUCACACAACAAAGUACUCAAAAAGGAAGAGGGGACAAUGCGUGAUUAGGUGAAACGAUAUCAUUCAUUUCAUGAAGACUAUUGAUCAAGUUAAUAUUAUCUUAGUAUUUGUUUUGGAUAUUUUAUAGUAGAUUUACUUUUAAUAUGUAAUUUUUUCAUGUUAAGAUAUACCUUUUAAUGUCAUUUAAUUAUUGUUUGUUCAA
Molecule: long non-coding RNA, 1795 nt
Organism: Mercurialis annua (annual mercury)
Lineage: Eukaryota; Viridiplantae; Streptophyta; Magnoliopsida; Malpighiales; Euphorbiaceae
Exons: 3
Source: RefSeq, a predicted model, not a curated record